This 466-nucleotide ribosomal RNA is filed under the name uncultured bacterium. Its description in RNAcentral is "bacterial SSU rRNA". It matches the Rfam family "Bacterial small subunit ribosomal RNA", at positions 28 to 507 of the family's 1533-position model. The record is from RNAcentral.
GAUGAACGCUGGCGGCGUGCCUCAAACAUGCAAGUCGAGCGGGGCUAUGUAAUAUCGCAAGGUGGAACAUAGCCUAGCGGCGAACGGGUGAGUAACACGUGGGUAACCUGCCUGGAAGACAGGGAUAACGAUUCGAAAGGGUCGCUAAUACCUGAUAAUAUCCUUUCAUCGCAUGGUGAUAGGAAGAAAGGGGAAACCCGCUUUCAGAUGGGCCCGCGUCCCAUCAGCUAGUUGGUAAGGUAAAGGCUUACCAAGGCGACGACGGGUAGCCGGUCUGAGAGGAUGUACGGCCACACUGGGACUGAGAUACGGCCCAGACUCCUACGGGAGGCAGCAGUUGGGAAUCUUAGGCAAUGGACGAAAGUCUGACCUAGCGACGCCGCGUGAGGGAAGAAGGCCUCGGUUGUAACUCUGUCAUGGGAAGAAGGAAGUGACGGUACCCAAGAGAAGCCCUGCUAACUACGUG